UGGGGAAUAUUGCACAAUGGGCGCAAGCCUGAUGCAGCCAUGCCGCGUGUAUGAAGAAGGCCUUCGGGUUGUAAAGUACUUUCAGCGGGGAGGAAGGGAGUAAAGUUAAUACCUUUGCUCAUUGACGUUACCCGCAGAAGAAGCACCGGCUAACUCCGUGCCAGCAGCCGCGGUAAUACGGAGGGUGCAAGCGUUAAUCGGAAUUACUGGGCGUAAAGCGCACGCAGGCGGUUUGUUAAGUCAGAUGUGAAAUCCCCGGGCUCAACCUGGGAACUGCCUCUGAUACUGGCAAGCUUGAGUCUCGUAGAGGGGGGUAGAAUUCCAGGUGUAGCGGUGAAAUGCGUAGAGAUCUGGAGGAAUACCGGUGGCGAAGGCGGCCCCCUGGACGAGGACUGACGCUCAGGUGCGAAAGCGUGGGGAGCAAACAGG
RNAcentral lists this ribosomal RNA (429 nucleotides) under Chloroflexota bacterium. RNAcentral's name for it is "Chloroflexi bacterium partial 16S ribosomal RNA". It matches the Rfam family "Bacterial small subunit ribosomal RNA", at positions 355 to 776 of the family's 1533-position model. Lineage: Bacteria; Bacillati; Chloroflexota. The record is from RNAcentral.